This 468-nucleotide ribosomal RNA is filed under the name uncultured bacterium. RNAcentral describes it as "partial 16S ribosomal RNA". It matches the Rfam family "Bacterial small subunit ribosomal RNA", at positions 28 to 507 of the family's 1533-position model. The record is from RNAcentral.
GACGAACGCUGGCGGCGUGCUUAACACAUGCCAGUCGAACGGAAAGGCCCUGCUUUUGUGGGGUGCUCGAGUGGCGAACGGGUGAGUAACACGUGAGUAACCUGCCCUUGACUUUGGGAUAACUUCAGGAAACUGGGGCUAAUACCGGAUAGGAGCUCCUGCUGCAUGGUGGGGGUUGGAAAGUUUCGGCGGUUGGGGAUGGACUCGCGGCUUAUCAGCUUGUUGGUGGGGUAGUGGCUUACCAAGGCUUUGACGGGUAGCCGGCCUGAGAGGGUGACCGGCCACAUUGGGACUGGGAUACGGCCCAGACUCCUACGGGAGGCAGCAGUGGGGAAUAUUGCAGAAUGGGCGGAAGCCUGAUGCAGCAACGCCGCGUGCGGGAUGACGGCCUUCGGGUUGUAAACCGCUUUCGCCUGUGACGAAGCGUGAGUGACGGUAAUGGGUAAAGAAGCACCGGCUAACUACGUG